Long non-coding RNA from Caretta caretta (loggerhead turtle), 2002 nucleotides. RefSeq lists it as uncharacterized. The record is from RefSeq and is a predicted model, not a curated record. NCBI's taxonomy places the organism in Eukaryota, Metazoa, Chordata, Testudines, Cheloniidae.
CGGGGUUCGCAGAGUGAGCACCAUAGAGCCAGCCCGGCUGAGCGCAGCGGCCUAGAGCGCCGCGCUCGCCUCCAGCGCCCUCCGGCGGCCGACGCGCGCCAGCCACGCUGCGGGGCCGUUGUUGACCCAAAGGGGAGCGGGAGGCGGGAGCCUGGGGAGCGUGUGUGUGUAACUGUAAUUUCCGGCGUGUCUGCAACAAAGAGAUACGUGUCCCGAGUAGAGGCCAGCAACACUCACACCUACGCCUGUGCACACACCACAACACGUGCGCACGCACAUGCAAACACAUAUGCACGUGCGUGAACACCCACUAUUCAAGUCUAGCCGACUGUAUUGGCGUGGACACAAGCGUUUCCGAAAGAAGCAGAUACCUUCGUGUGUGGCUCAGACGCAUGCUCCUCUCCACACACAGAGAGUGUUCCCUCAGGGGGAAUAAGGCAACGCUUCAGAAAGGAAAACUUUCGAACUGGUAAAGGGGAGAUAAAAGGAAAGCCCCUUUUCUCCGAAGGUGCAGACUCGACUCCCUCCUGUAUCUGUCGCCAGUGGAUUAAUUUACAGUAAGGGUGUCCCGCCCUCCUUGUGUAACGUAAAUAAAAUAAAGAGAAGACAAGGUGAUAUGGUGCAAACAAAGGCACAGCGGAUGCUAUGCACCGACGCGAGGCCUAGGGCCUUCAACUCUCUGGCUGAUUGGGAGCCUUUGAAGAGGACCACUGGGGAGUCCUGACAACUGGUGGACUUUGUCGCAGGCGGGGAGACCUUCUGGGAUGAUGGACACCAGGAAAGUUGCAGGAUUCCCUCACAGGUGUGGCCUUCACAACAUCCUCUGGCAAGGAGUUCCACAGGUUGACUGUGCGUUGUAUGAAGAAAAUACUUCCUUUUGUUUGUUUUAAACCUGCUGCCUAUUAAUUUCAUUUGGUGUCCCUUAGUUCUUGUGUUAUGAGGAGUAAAUAAAACUUCCUUAUUUACUUUUUCCCCACCUGUCAUGAUUUUAUAGCUCUCUAUCAUAUCCCCCUCUUAAUCAUCUCUUUUCCAAGCUGAAAAGUCCCAGUCUUAUUAAUUUCUCCUCAUAUGGAAGUCAUUCCAUACCCCAAUCAUUUUUGCUGCCCUUUUCUGAACCUUUUCGAAUUCCAGUAUAUCCUUUUUGAGAUGAGGUGACCACAUCUGCAAGCAAUAUUCAAGAUAUGGGCGUACCAUGGAUUUAUAUAGAGGCAAUAUGAUAUUUUCUGUCUUAUUAUCUAUCCCUUUCUUAAUGACACCCAACAUUCUGUUCGCUUUUUUGACUGCCGCUGCACACUGAGUGGAUUUUUUCAGAGAACUAUCCACAAUGACUCCAAGAUCUCUUUCUUGAGUGGUAACAGCUAAUUUAGACCCCAUCAUUUUAUAUGUAUAGUUGGGAUUAUGUUUUCCAAUGUGCAUUAGUUUGCAUUUAUCAACAUGCACAAAAAACAUACCCAAAUUCACAAGGACUUGUACAGGUGCUCACAUGCACACUUCUGCACAGUCACAGUGAUAAACACGCAGACAAAUGCACAAGCACACACACGCACACGUGAGUGCACACAAACAUAUGUAUGCACACACACCCACAUAAAAGUGUACAUAUGCCACGUGCAUAAUCACAGAUGGGUACAUACAUGCACAGAUGAAGACAAGCACAGAAAUACAAAAAUGGAUACAUGCAUACAUGCAAAUACACAUACAUAAGAACACGCAAAGAUACAUGCAUACAACAUCCUCCUACAUACACACCUUGUAGUCUCUUUGCUUCAUAGAAGACUUUGAAAAUUGGACACUUGAUGAUUUCACGUGGAAUAAAAACAGCUUUAAGGAACUUAAACAAAAUUCAGACAUCAUACUUUAUGACUCAGGAGGUAUAUAAUCUGUUGCUCUUGACAACAACUAAAAUUCAGAGAGUAUGAAAAGAACAAAAUACUAGCAGAAACAACAUUAUCUGGACCCAGUGAAACAUUACGUAGAUAACUAAAGUAGCCAACCCUUAAGG